GCAAGUCGAGGGGUAACAUGAGUACUUGUACUUGAUGACGACCGGCGCACGGGUGCGUAACGCGUAUGCAACCUACCCAUUACUGGAGGAUAGCCCGGGGAAACUCGGAUUAAUACUCCAUAGUAUUACCAGAUGGCACCUGACGGUAAUUAAAGAUUUAUUGGUAAUGGAUGGGCAUGCGUACCAUUAGCUAGUUGGUAAGGUAACGGCUUACCAAGGCUACGAUGGUUAGGGGGCCUGAGAGGGUGAUC
RNAcentral lists this ribosomal RNA (251 nucleotides) under uncultured bacterium. Its description in RNAcentral is "partial 16S ribosomal RNA". It matches the Rfam family "Bacterial small subunit ribosomal RNA", at positions 57 to 305 of the family's 1533-position model. The record is from RNAcentral.